GAUGAACGCUAGCUACAGGCUUAACACAUGCAAGUCGAGGGGAAACGAUAUUGGAAGCUUGCUUCCGAUAGGCGUCGACCGGCGCACGGGUGAGUAACGCGUAUCCAACCUGCCCACCACUUGGGGAUAACCUUGCGAAAGUAAGACUAAUACCCAAUGAUAUCUCUAGAAGACAUCUGAAGGAGAUUAAAGAUUUAUCGGUGAUGGAUGGGGAUGCGUCUGAUUAGCUUGUUGGCGGGGUAACGGCCCACCAAGGCGACGAUCAGUAGGGGUUCUGAGAGGAAGGUCCCCCACAUUGGAACUGAGACACGGUCCAAACUCCUACGGGAGGCAGCAGUGAGGAAUAUUGGUCAAUGGGCGAGAGCCUGAACCAGCCAAGUAGCGUGCAGGAUGAUGGCCCUAUGGGUUGUAAACUGCUUUUAUAAGGGAAUAAAGUGAGUCUCGUGAGACUUUUUGCAUGUACCUUAUGAAUAAGGACCGGCUAAUUCCGUGCCAGCAGCCGCGGUAA
Molecule: ribosomal RNA, 508 nt
Filed under: uncultured bacterium
Lineage: Bacteria
Description: partial 16S ribosomal RNA
Rfam family: Bacterial small subunit ribosomal RNA
Source: RNAcentral